Molecule: ribosomal RNA, 253 nt
Filed under: uncultured bacterium
Lineage: Bacteria
Description: partial 16S ribosomal RNA
Rfam family: Bacterial small subunit ribosomal RNA
Source: RNAcentral
UACGUAGGGGCCGAGCGUUGUCCGGAGUUAUUGGGCGUAAAGCGCGCGCAGGCGGCCUCGCGCGCCCGACGUGAAAGCCCCCGGCUUAACCGGGGAGGGUCGUUGGGGACGGCGGGGCUUGAGGGCGGGAGAGGGCGGUGGAAUUCCCGGUGUAGUGGUGAAAUGCGUAGAUAUCAGGAGGAACACCGGUGGCGAAGGCGCACAUCUGGCCCGAUACUGACGCUGAGGCGCGAAAGCUAGGGGAGCAAACAGG